AGAAAAAUUGGUGAAGGAGUUGUAGUCAGUGUUGUUGAAACUUGCUUCCUUUGGGAUCAUAAGGUUUUGGUGAUGAUGAUGAAAAGAAGACACCAUUGAAGGCUUCAAUUUUCUCUGGAUCACAAUGGAUUCUUCAAUCACAUUGAAGUUGUUAUCUCUAGGUGCUUCGCUACUAUGAGGGUGAGACUGAAUCAUCUUAUUAGGUGAUCUUGCACAAUCCUCAAGUUGAAUAGGUGAUCUCAAUUGUUGGAAGGUUUCAAUAUUAUUUUCAGUUAUUGCAGUGCACUUUUUCUUCAAGUCUUGCACUUACAUUACCCUCCCAUUAUUGCCGGUAGUGUUGCUCAUCUUGUUACUAGUCAUCUAGUAGUAUUGCUCUUUCUCUUGCUUUCUCCCUUGACUCCUUCAUCUUUGUGCGAAC
RNAcentral lists this long non-coding RNA (418 nucleotides) under Lupinus angustifolius (narrow-leaved blue lupine). RNAcentral's name for it is "long non-coding RNA (LANG_LNC003357)". Lineage: Eukaryota; Viridiplantae; Streptophyta; Magnoliopsida; Fabales; Fabaceae. The record is from RNAcentral.